Molecule: ribosomal RNA, 468 nt
Filed under: uncultured bacterium
Lineage: Bacteria
Description: partial 16S ribosomal RNA
Rfam family: Bacterial small subunit ribosomal RNA
Source: RNAcentral
GACGAACGCUGGCGGCGUGCUUAACACAUGCAAGUCGAACGGAAAGGCCCUGCUUUUGUGGGGUGCUCGAAUGGCAAACGGGUGAGUAACACGUGAGUAACCUGCCCUUGACUUUGGGAUAACUUCAGGAAACUGGGGCUAAUAACGGAUAGGAGCUCCUGCUGCAUGGUGGGGGUUGGAAAGUUUCGGCGGUUGGGGAUGGACUCGCGGCUUAUCAGCUUGUUGGUGGGGUAGUGGCUUACCAAGGCUUUGACGGGUAGCCGGCCUGAGAGGGUGACCGGCCACAUUGGGACUGAGAUACGGCCCAGACUCCUACGGGAGGCAGCAGUGGGGAAUAUUGCACAAUGGGCGGAAGCCUGAUGCAGCAACGCCGCGUGCGGGAUGACGGCCUUCGGGUUGUAAACCUCUUUCGCCUGUGACGAAGCGUGAGUGACGGUAAUGGGUAAAGAAGCACCGGCUAACUACGUG